UUUUUAUCCACCACAAUUGAUUCUACGUAAGCUUGCCGCUUUUGGGUUCCAGUGGAAAUCGAGUCCGGGAGCCUAUGAUUUUCUUUCAUUGAAGUCCGAUGCCAUUGAGACUUGGGAGAUAUCCCAUCUCAAGAUUGGUUUCCGUAUUGAAUUCCAUGGGUUGGAGAUGAGAUCACCGGAUUAUGGGUUAGGUAAGAUUCUGAUUUUUUGUUUAUGUUGUGAUGCACAUGCUAUUGAAAUGUGGCCUCGAGAUGUUUGAUGUUAAACGAUUGAGAAAAUGCAUACCCAAUUGGUCAAAAGGGAAAUUCGACUGGAUUAUAUCAGAUUAUGAGUUGUAAGGAAAAGAAAAUCGCAGUUCGGUCGAACAUCGCAGUUCGGUUGAAUGUUCGUCUGUGUUCUUGCGUUGAGUUUG
This 412-nucleotide long non-coding RNA is filed under the name Linum usitatissimum (flax). Its description in RNAcentral is "long non-coding RNA (LUSI_LNC001489)". Lineage: Eukaryota; Viridiplantae; Streptophyta; Magnoliopsida; Malpighiales; Linaceae. The record is from RNAcentral.